AUAAUAGUCGUGGAACUUCGGACAAUAAUCGUGCAUGCUACGACACUUAUUAAAUUGGAUUUUUCUUGAGAUAUAUUUAGGAUUUCGGGACGUACGAUAGGUUAGAAUAUGAUUAUUGAUACCACCAGGUCGGAGGAGGUAACACUACAAAGUAUUCUAAAUAUAGAGUUGUCAGACGAAAAAAAUGUCCCCUAGAAAACUAAAAACCGACCCCUCCCCC
RNAcentral lists this long non-coding RNA (220 nucleotides) under Mytilus galloprovincialis (Mediterranean mussel). The record is from RNAcentral. Lineage: Eukaryota; Metazoa; Mollusca; Bivalvia; Mytilida; Mytilidae.